CUUCCACCUUGCUUUCUUCGAUCACUUAUUGGCACAUAUAAUGUGCAUACUGCAUCAUAAUUAAAAGGGCGUAAAGUAAAGAAGACCAAUGUAUCAAUGAACUGUCAUGUUCAGUUGUUCACGCAUAAGCUCGAUUUUAUUAGCGGCUUGAGGGGAAACUGCCUUAAAAAGCCUGCAGCGCGCAAGCUGGCCCGGGCACCACUAUUAUUCAAAAAAGAAGAAACAUGCAGAGCAUCGGACUCAAAAGGUUCCAUUGGUGGCAUGACAUAUCUGGACCAGCAAUAUGCAGAGGAUUCUACUUGCAAGUAGGAUAUGCAACUUACUUUCUCGGGG
This 333-nucleotide unclassified non-coding RNA is filed under the name Hevea brasiliensis (rubber tree). Lineage: Eukaryota; Viridiplantae; Streptophyta; Magnoliopsida; Malpighiales; Euphorbiaceae. The record is from RNAcentral.